AUUUGAUCUUCUUUACAGCUGUGUACGAGUCAGCUAAACGCUGCUCCGUUACUCCACUCCAGUAUUAAAUCAUGCCAGAAAUAUGUUGAAAGCAGCGUACAUGCUACUGCUUUUAUCUGGGAAUGGUGUUAGCUUAAUAUGGAAAGCGAUCAUGAUUAGGAGCAACCUUAGACCCUAUAUUUUCUACACAUGGCUGGAGAAUCAUCAAACCGUAACUUCCCCCCAGUAUUUUGAAGGCCAUGGAAAGUAAUGUUUCUUUUACUCAUUGUAACUUAAUCAUAUGCUCUUUUCAUGUUCGUCACAUCUCACAACUUAAGAAAUCGUUGCUACAGUCCUUCACUUUCUUCCUUGUGGUAAAGUAUAUAAAUUACUAUUCUUUCAUAUAUCUCUUUGUAGUUAAAGUAGCAAGAG
This is a long non-coding RNA of Brassica oleracea var. oleracea, 411 nucleotides long. RefSeq lists it as uncharacterized. The record is from RefSeq and is a predicted model, not a curated record. NCBI's taxonomy places the organism in Eukaryota, Viridiplantae, Streptophyta, Magnoliopsida, Brassicales, Brassicaceae. The transcript has 3 exons.